RNAcentral lists this long non-coding RNA (10198 nucleotides) under Sorghum bicolor (sorghum). Its description in RNAcentral is "long non-coding RNA (SBIC_LNC004095)". Lineage: Eukaryota; Viridiplantae; Streptophyta; Magnoliopsida; Poales; Poaceae. The record is from RNAcentral.
GCAGACGUCUCGACUCCCGGCGGCGGCGCGUAUGGCAGAAGGUCGUAGACCCAUGGGAUGACUGGGUCGCCUGGAUUCGCGGCGUUGCAGGACCAGGCAAGCAGUGGCAUCCACGAACCAAGUAAGUAGAUUUGCGGCUUUGCUCUGCUUUUGCCAGUUUCAGUUCUCGUGAGGGUAUCAAUCUGACUAUACAUUUAUGUAAACUGUGAUCUGAUUUGAAUUGGAACCAUUACCAUAUUAGCUGGAUUUUAUUUAUGGACUUUGCUAUAGAUUGCGUCUGCAGGAAAUCCAAUUUCCGGCUGCACACUCCAAUCUGUGAAAGAAAUUAUUUUAGUUGCUAAAAAAGGAAAAAAACAGAUCAGAUCUAGGGUUUGCCGACUCGGAUGCCCUCACCCUGCCAUCGGCCACCGCCCUGCUUCCGACGAACCCUAGCGCCCGCGGCGGCUGCCCUCUUCCCCUCCCCGCCGCCAUCUUCUCCAGCUCUGGCGAGCUCACUCGUAGCCAUAUCUCCAGCUCCAACGAGCCUGCCCGCCCUGAUCUGACCCGAUCGCCCUUGCGGCCGCCAGCUCCAAUGAGCUUGUCCGCCCCGACCUGACUCGAUCGCACUUGCUGCCGCGAGCUCUCUUAAGCCACCCAUCGACCAUCUCCACCACCUGUCCUACCUGCCUCCUCCCUGGCCAACCAUUCUAUAGCCCACCGUAGGUAGGGAGGGAGGGAGGGAGGGAGGGAGGGAGGGAGGGAGAGGGAGGGAGAGGCCUACCUCGCCAGAUCCGGUGGAUGUGUUGCCGUCGUCGCCAUGGCCGCACGCGGAGGAGGCGGUGGUGAUUAGGCGCGGAGGCCAUUGGUUAGGUGCUCGCCAGAGAGAGAGAGAGCCAGGAAAGGCUGAAGAUGAGUGUGCGACACGUGGGUGGAUGUGCGGGCAGUUCCUCCGGAGGAUGCGUGCUUUUAUUUUAGUAUUUCCGUCUAUUUAUUGGGAUUCAUUUUGAUGACCUUCGAAGCGGGUGUUGUACAGCUAUAGGAUUAUUACUACUAGACUUUAGAUACGGGAUUAUUAUUACUAGACUUCAGAUACGGCCUCCGUUGAGAAUUUUGAAGGACUAGUUAUGCAAUUUAUAUUCAUCUCUCUCAUGAACAGAUUGGUGCGGCAGGGAAUAACCAAACUUGAUUCCAAGCAAAAUUACGCCUCUUUCCUGGCCCAUUGUACAUGGAUGACCAUGUUUAGCUUCAUCUUCUUAUUUUGACAGCUCUGCUUUGGUAUCUUACUUGAAGGUCUUCGGCCAUCUUGAGAUGCAUCAUUCCAAAACUCUAGUAUGGAAAACUAUGUUUGCAUGAGCAAAAAAUAAUAUGCCUACCUAACUUGAUACUAGGAUAGAUGUGCACAUUAAUAUUUAGGGCUAACGGCCGUGCAUGCGUUAGGCCAGCCGCCAGCCGCACGCAAGGUCACUCUAGCAUAGGCACGUGGUCCUCAUCUUCUUCCUUCCUACGGUCCCACCACCCCGCCUUCAUCGCCCCCGCCACCGGCGAGCUAGGGUUUUAUUAGAGCUCUACGGCCAUGGCUGUGGCCAUGCAGCUCCGGCGAAACCCUAGCUCGCUGGUGGCGCCACCUUCUUCCCCUCACCUCUCCCUCUCCCGCCCUCGCCCCGACUUGGCUCGACCGCUGCUACCACCGCUAGGGUCCCUAAAUCGCUCGGUCACCAUCCCCACUGCUGCCUGCUUGCCUCCCCUGGCCGGCCCCUUCUAUAUUUGCCGGAGUUGGAGAAGAAAGAGGGGGGAGAGGCUCGCCAGAACUCUAGAAAGCAAAUCGAGGAGGAGGAGGAGGAGGAGGAGGAGGAGGAACUUGCUGGGCACCAGGGAGAGAGAGAGAGAGGUGGGGUGCAAGGUGUGGAGGUGGAAGAUGACCUGUGCGUGCGGGCAUGAGGUGGGAAGGUGGGGCGCGUGUGUGGUGCGAACUUAAAACGCUCGCUUGUUUUUAAGUCUUUGCGUUUAUAAAUUGUUAAUAUUAGGCUACCAUAUAUGGAUAGUAGUAUUUAGUAAUUUAUGUGAAAAAAGCUCCCUUUGGGUUUUACUAUGCAUGAGGUCCUGUAUGCAAGAUACUAUAAUAGCCUUUUUUCUUUGAAAGCUAUCAUGGUACCUUCAGUUCAAGGUUGGGCGAACGUGGACUUUCGAUUAGGAUCAAACGGUUGAGAUCACGUCUAAAGAACAUGGGCCUGCGGGAGCUGAUGGCUCCUUUAUUUUCUGGAGCAUUUAAUGUGGGUCUUUUUAUUAUUUUCAUGGGCCAAAUUUUCAGCUAAGUUUAAGUUUAUUAUAUUCAAUGCAUCUCAUUAUUAUUUAGAGAAUCAUAGCACUGCCUUAUGUCUGAUGUUUGUUUUGCCCACAUAAUGAUUAUUUUCUACUACUAAUGAUUACUUUUCUGGUCGGAUGGAACCGACAAGAAAUCAUAAGAUUUCAUUGUGGCUUAUGUACAUAACUUUGACCAAUGUUAACUUAUAUGCAUACGUUCACAAAAAUUAUGUUUAGUUUCUUUUUCAUUUCUGCCUAGCAGUUAUGCGAGAUAGAAAUGUCAUUAACUUAUUUUAACCAGAUCAGCGCAGGAUUUUAAUUAAAUGCAUGAUAUAGUGUUUAUAUAUCUUGCUAAUAUUGUUUUAAUUUAUUUUAAGUCAGCGCUAUGUCCUCCACAGGCUUAUAGAAAGAGAAAAUUUAGUUGGCUCACUUAUUUUUGAAUAGUGAUCAUGCCAUACAUGAGCAUUCUCCUACUCUCCCAACAACAGAAGAGUAGGAGCGUGCUCACGUAUGACAUGAUCAUAGUUCAAAAUUAAGAGAGCCAAUUGAAUUUUCUCUUUCCAUAGUGGGAAGUUGGUCUAGUCGAGGAGAGGGAUCUCUUUGGUCCUAUCCAUAACCUCUGAAGGACGUGACACUAACUCAAAGUGAAUUAGAAUAACAUUAGUAAGGUUAUGUAAACAUUAUGUCGUGCAUAAAUUAAAAUCCUACGUUGAUCUGAUUAAAACAUGCUAAUGGCGAUUCUAAUUUGCAUCACUGUUAGGUAGAACCAAAAAAUAAACUAAAACAUAAUCUUUUGAACAUAUUAUGCAUAUAAAUUAACUUUGGUCAAAGAUACAUACAUAAUCUUGUGAACAUAUGCAUAUAAAUUAACUUUUGUCAAAGAUAGAUACAUCCACAACGAAAUCUUUAAUUAGAAUUUUUCAUUGCAUCCAUUCUUACUAGAAAAUUAUUUAUAACUUAGCAGCGAAAAUAAUCAAUAUAUGGGCCGAGGAGUCCAUUAUGUCACCCUCUCUCUAGCAGCGUCUGUGUGUGAAAAUGCGGGGCACGAAGAGCGAAUGGGGAUUAGGGUUAGUGUUUUUUUUUCACAUGCCGUUUUGGUUUGAGGUUGGGCGAACGUGGAAUGUCAAUUAGGAUCAGACGUCCUAGAUCGCAUCCGAAGCAUGGGCCUGCGGGAGCUGAUGGUUCCUUUAUUUUCUUAGGUAUUUAAUAUGGGUUUUUAUUAUUUCCAUGGGCUAAAUUUUCAGCUAAGUUUAAGUUUAUUAUAUUCAGUGCAUCUCAUUAUUAUUUAGAGAAUCAUAGCAUUGCCUUAUGUAUGAUGUUUAUUUUGCCCACAUAAUGGUUAUAUCUGCAGCUUAUGCUUACAUAGCAUAAGAUUCAAUAGUGGCUUAUGUAUAUAUCAUUGACCAAUGUUAACUUAUAUGCAUACGUUCACAAAAUUAUGUUUAGUUUCUUUUUCGUUUCUGCCCAACAGUAAUGCGAGUUAGAAAUGUCAUUAAAUUAUUUUAACCAGAUCAGAGCAGGAUUUUAAUUAAAUGCAUGAUGUAGUGUUUAUAUAUCUUGCUAAUAUUGUUUUAAUUUAUUUUAAGUCAGCGCUAUGUACUCCACAGGCUUUGGACAUGAUUAAAGAGAUUUCUCUUCUUGUUUGGACCAGUUUUCUAUUAUAGAAAGAGAAAAUUUAGUUGGCUCACUUAUUUUUGAAUAGUGAUUAUGCCAUACAUGAGCAUUCUCCUACUCUCCCAACAACACAAGAGUAGGAGCGUGCUCACGUAUGACAUGAUCAUAGUUCAAAAUUAAGAGACCAAUUGAAUUUUCUCUUUCCAUAGUGGGAAGUUGGUCUAGUCGAGGAGAGGGAUCUCUUUGGUCCUAUCCAUAACCUCUGAAGGACGUGACACUAACUCAAAGUGAAUUAGAAUAACAUUAGUAAGGUUAUGUAAACAUUAUGUCGUGCAUAAAUUAAAAUCCUACGUUGAUCUGAUUAAAACAUGCUAAUGGCGAUUCUAAUUUGCAUCACUGUUAGGUAGAACCAAAAAAUAAACUAAAACAUAAUCUUUUGAACAUAUUAUGCAUAUAAAUUAACUUUGGUCAAAGAUACAUACAUAAUCUUGUGAACAUAUGCAUAUAAAUUAACUUUUGUCAAAGAUAGAUACAUCCACAACGAAAUCUUUAAUUAGAAUUUUUCAUUGCAUCCCUUCUAACUAGAAAAUUAUUUAUAACUUAGCAGCGAAAAUAAUCAAUAUAUGGGCCGAGGAGUCCAUUAUGUCACCCUCUCUCUAGCAGCGUCUGUGUGUGAAAAUGCGGGGCACGAAGAGCGAAUGGGGAUUAGGGUUAGUGUUUUUUUUUCACAUGCCGUUUUGGUUUGAGGUUGGGCGAACGUGGAAUGUCAAUUAGGAUCAGACGUCCUAGAUCGCGUCCGAAGCAUGGGCCUGCGGGAGCUGAUGGUUCCUUUAUUUUCUUAGGUAUUUAAUAUGGGUUUUUAUUAUUUUCACGGGCUAAAUUUUCAGCUAAGUUUAGGUUUAUUAUAUUCAGUGCAUCUCAUUAUUAUUUAGAGAAUCAUAGCAUUGCCUUAUGUAUGAUGUUUAUUUUGCCCACAUAAUGGUUAUAUCUGCAGCUUAUGCUUAUAUAGCAUAAGAUUCAAUUGUGGCUUAUGUAUAUAUCUUUGGCCAAUGGCCAAUGUUAACUUAUAUGAAUAUGUUCACAAAAUCAUGUUUAGUUUAUUUUUCGUUUCUGCCCAACGUUUAUGCGAAUUAGAAAUGUCAUUCAUUUGUUUUAACUAGAUCAGUGCAGGAUUUUAAUUAAUGCAUGAUGUAAUGUUUACUUAUCUUGCUUAUGUUAUUUAAAUUUAUUUUGAUUUUAGUCGGUGCUGUGUCCUUCACAGAUUUUGGACAGGAUUAAAGAGAUUUCUCUCCUUGUUGUAAAAAAUGAGAUUUCUCUCCUUAUCUGGACCAACUUUCUAUUAUAGAAAGAGAAAAUUUAGAUGGCUCUGUUAUUUUUUCAACUGUGAUCAUGCCAUACAUGAGCAUUCUCUACUCUCCCAACAACACAAGAGUAGGAGCGUGCUCACGUAUGACAUGAUCACAGUUCAAAAUUAAGAGAGCCAAUUGAAUUUCCUUUUCCAUAAUAGGAAGUUGGUCCAUUCGAGAAGAGAAAUCUCUUUGAUCCUGUCCAUAACCUUUAAAGGCCGUAACACUAACUCAAAGUAAAUUAGAAUAACAUUAAUAAAGGUAUAUAAACAUUAUGUCGUGCAUAAAUUAAAAUCCUACGUUAGUCUGAUUAAAACAUGCUAAUGACGUUUCUAUUUUGCAUCACUGUUGGGUAGAACCAAAAAAUAAAGUAAAACAUAAUCUUGUGAACAUGUUAUGCAUAUAAAUUAACUUUGGCGAAAGAUACAUACAUAAUCGUGUGAACAUAUGCAUAUAAAACUUUGGUCAAAGAUACAUACAUAAGCCACAACGAAAUCUUUAAUUAGAAUUUUCAAUUGCUUCCAUUCUAACUAGAAAAAUAAUUAUAGCUUAGCAGCGAAAAUAAUCAAUAUAUAGGCAAAAUAAACAUUAUAUGUAAGAUAUCAUAAAACAAUGCCAUGAUUCUCUAAACGAUGCAUUAAAAUAAUGAGCGUAAAACAUAGCUCAUUUGGCACAUGAAAGCAACAAAGGACCCACGUUAAAAUAGCCCAGAAAUUAUAUUAAGAAAUAAUUAUAAUGUUCUUAAGCAAAUAAUCAAUCAUUAGUGCCCCAUUAUAAUUAUGAUUAUAAUUAUGCCCUUCAGACAGCCAUAAUAUAAUACUCAAAAUAGAUAUUGCAUAAUUUCUAAUUGACCAAAAUUAUCCCAAAAUAAUAAAGUUAUGGCACAACGUAUCUCAUUCAACAUUUUGACUUAUUGAACGGUGCUGCUAAAAAAAUUGAACAGUAAGUAAUGCACUGAAAAAUAAGGGAGCCUAGAAACUUGAUGAAUUUGGUCCAUACUUUGAGUACCCCAACUUUUGCAAAAGUCUGACUUUCCUUCCUCAACUCUAAAACCAGAAAUAAUUCCUCCACCCAAAACCGGUCACUUGACAUCCAAGGCUGUUUCUCUCAGUGUUUUUUCUUUCUUUCUUUCUUUUAUAUUUAUUUCGUCUGAAUCGCUAAAAAAUCAUAGUAAAUCAUAAAAAAAUCAUAAAAUAAAAAAUUCUAUUAUUUUGGACUCCACAUGAGUAUAUCUACACAAUAAACAUAUGAUAUUGUAUGCUUUAAUACAAAAACUAGUUUUAAAAGUUGAAUAAAAAACCAGAGUUUUGUAGAUGAGGGGGAAAAAUUGGACGACGAACUUGUAGGUCAAAAGCUUUCAAACUGCUACUAGCAACUAGAAGUUGGGCCGUAAGUGGAUAAUUCCAGGCAGAAGAUUCAUGGGCUUCAGGCCUGCACAAGCUACACGAGUUCAGGGUCGGCACUCCGGCUUCAGUUUUUUUUCUCAUCUUGGAUUUCUCGAUGAGCGCCUUAAGUCCAGACAAACACAUUCGCCUCAUUUUUGGGCUGAAUCUGAAUAAGUCUGUCAUCCCGAGGCUUGCCCCAUUCCGCCUUGGCCCUUGGCGCCGAUGACGACGUGGCGGUACAUACAGCGGCGCUGCAGCAGCUGCAGUCUCACCGAGUGGCCGUGAGGCGCAGUGGGGGCGGUGAAUGCAUGGACGCGCAACUAGUGCUGUCGCAUUAGCGGGAAUUGCAAACAACCUCCGCCCCCGCUACGCCGCGGGCUUGGUACUUCUGUCCAUGGUGGCAGACGGGCUGAUGCAGUCUUGACUUGCGGUGCCUAUGGGGAAGAGUCGCAUACCCACGAGGUGAUUGGGUUGCGUAGAACGGGGCAAGCAGUGGCAUCCACGAACCAAGUAAGUAUUGCGGAUUUGCUCUGAUAGUUCUCGCAAGCGUCCACCAAUCUGAUUAGGUACUUAAGUUUAUGGAAAAAAAAGUGUUCUGAUUUGAAUUGCGUGGAUUUUAUUUAUUGUGAUUCAGUUCAACGACCUCUGAAACGGGGGAUAACAGCCAUAAGAUUACUUAUCACGAGGCUUUAGAUAUGAUGUGCUGCUAUCUGGAUUUCCAGGACGGCCUCUGGUGAAAAUUUUAAAAGGGACUAGUUAUAUGAUUUAUAUUCUUCUGUCUCUGGAAGAAUCUGGCACUACUGGGAAUAACGCAACUCAAUUUCAAGCAAAAAUUAUGCCUCUUUCCUGGCCUAUUGUACACGAAUGGUAAUGUUCAGCUUCAUCUUAUUCUGACAGCUCUGCUCUGGUAUCUUACUUGAUGCUGCUCGCCAUCCUAAGAUGCAUCAUACCAUAACUCUAGUAUGAAGAAAUGUGUCUCCCUGAGCAAAAAAAUAAGUUAAUAUGUGUACCCAACUUGAUACCAGUUUAGAUGUGCACAUUUGAUUCUAUAAAUUACUAAUACUGGACGUAUAUGGAUAUUAGUAUUUAGUAUUUUAUCUGAAAAAAACUCCCUUUGGGUUUUGCUAUGUAUUAGGUUCUAUGCAAGAUACUAUAAUAAGAUAGUAGCCUUUCUUUAAAAACUUGUCACAAUACCUUCAGAUUUGAACACCAUCAAUGUGCUUGGUCUGGAACCCAUUACUCUAGAGUAUGUGGUCAUCUCACAAAGUUGGUUAUUAUCAUAGGAUUUUUAUUCUUGACCAUGGGCAGGACUGUCAUAUAACUUCUUAAUUCAAAUGCUUUAUCUCCUCAGCUUUUAGGCCUUCACUAGAACCUUGUGUUUCAGCAGAGCUGUUGGGACUCAUGCUUUCUGUAUCCAAAUUGUAAACUGGAUCUUCGCUGGAAAAAAGAGAAAUGAAUUGUAGAUAUAAAAUUACUAGAAAAAAAAUGACAACUGCAGAAAUGUCUUGAGAGAAUAUCUUACAGUAUUUGACUGAAGUUCUGCUUUGGUGGCAUGUCCAGUUUGUGUAAGUCUCUUUCAAACAUUUCUAAAACCUUGGUUAUGGUAGGGCGAUGCAUAGGUAAAAUUUGGAUGCACCACAGACCAAUUAGAGUCAUCUUUCUGGCAAUUUCUUCUACUUCACUUGUGACUUCACAAACUGUAAUCCAUCGUGCUGGGCAAAGUGAUCAUAAAUCCAAUGUGGAAAAUACUUUUCACUUGAUUUUUGAACUAUUGAUUUCACAUUUUUCCUGCCUCCAACCAUCUCUAGCAACAUCAUUUCAUAACUAUACACAUUUGAUUCUGUUGAGACAACUCCAAAAGUUCGAGAGUGAACUUCAGGAGCAAUGAAUCCAAUUGUUCCUCUAGCUCCAGUCAUUGAAAACCUACUCUCCUUGGUAUGACACAAUUUAGCUAAACCAAAAUCAGCAAUCUUUGGGCAGAAGUCCUUAUCUAGAAGGAUAUUUUGAGGUUUGAUAUCAAAGUGGACAAUUCAUGUAUUUCAACUAUGAUGCAAGUAUUCUAGACCGUGAGCAAUCCCAAUUGCUAUUGUAUAGAGCUUUUGCCACCCUAAAGUUUCUUUGGGCUUGUCAGAGUAAAUGUACUGAUCUAGAGAACCAUUAGGCACGUACUCAUAUAUAAGUGCUCUUUUUGAGUGUUCCAAACAAAAGCCAAAUAAGUUAACGAUGUUGACGUGGGAUGUCCUUCCAAUGCUCAUAACCUCAUUUACGAGCUUGUGCUCCUUGUCUUUUCACCAAGGAGAAACCAUAGUCUUUUUACUGCCCUCUUCCGUAUCAGCACACAAAUGCAUGGAAAGAGUAAACUUGCAGCUGCUGCCACCAAAACUGAGAUUAACGCAGAUGUUAUUUACUUCAUAUAUAAACAAUAAAUGUCUGUAGUAUAUUUUAUAUCAUUUUUAUUCUUUUUCAAGGAAUGAGUCCAUCCAUGAUCCCUCAACUCUUCUCAUGGUCUAAUUUUCAUUGCCCUCUUAAAAACUUGUUAUAAUACAUUAACUAUUAAAACAAUACAAGUCUUUAUAAAAAAAACCAUGCAAAUCACAUCCCUAGACUGCCACAGCUUUUUGCCACAUUAGCUGCCAUGUUAUCAGCUUGGUUCACAUCAACAAUGCUUCUGCUUCCUUGGAUCCUUGUUCUGUACAGAGCAUGUCUAGACUUGAAGUGGCAGUUCACUGACGAUCUUACUUUUUACUACUAUAGACUAGAGAAGCUAGGGAGCGACAUAUACGUGAUCAUUAUUAGAUAUAGAUGGUGGACCACAUUAUUAUUGCCUUGGCUUGAUUGGGAGAGUCCUUAGUCUUUUUGUCCAGCCUGUGGGUCAAGCUUGGUGAAAAUGCUUCUUAAGUCUUAACAGUGGUUGGGGUGGGUUUUCAGAUGGAUCAAGAGUUGGAGAAGGUGUUUCACUCAGUAUGAGGAACCGAAGUUUCAUCAAGCGAAGAGUUGAAGGACUAUGGACAGACUUUUCGAUUUUUUAAACAGGUAUCAUAUUAUGCUCCAGACGAAGUAAUUACCAAUGAGAUGACAGCCUGAUUAAAAAAGAUUCUAUCAAGACAUAAUGUGAGUAUUAUUUACCUAUUAAUAUUAUGGUCCCAGUGUUAGUGGUCUUGCUUCCUGCAACAGACAUGCUGAGGUUACUAAUUUUGCACUCAAAUUAAGAAAACAUAUGCUUGAAACAUAAAUAUUUUUGAGAUAGCACUGCACUACAGAUAUGCGGUGAAUGAUGAUUUGCCUUGAUACUGAGCUGUCAAUCAUUAUGUACAAAGAUUUUUCAUAAGUCGUGCAUAUGUAAGCAUGCUUUUUUGUCUGUAUGUACUGAUAAUAAUACUAAGUGCACCGGUUGCUUUCACUUACCGGGCUUAUAGUCGUAUACAUAAGUAUUUUAUCGUGCUAUAGUCCUAACAUGUCCAACUAAUUUUGUCCAAACAGUCAAUACCACCAGUGGUAGCCGGGACGAGGUCUAACGUGCCGCUGCAGUUGUAGAUGAAGCAAAGGGCUCGGUUCCGGCGGCUAAUCGUGAAG